AAUUCCAUAUCUAUUUCGACAAUUUUCUCCAUAAUCCAUAAUUGAAUGUUCCUUUUCAAUUUUUAAUCGACUCGAACCAUUUAAGAACACAAAUUGUUUGAAAUUACAACUAUUCAUUCUGUCACUUCAACUCUUAUUUGCUUGUCAGAUUUUCAAUUGCAAUUGAACUUCAUCUGUCCUUAAAUUUUCCCCAAUUGCAAAAUCCUGUAUCAAUUAUUUCGCCAUCAAUUUUUUUUAUUAGUUUAUUUAUUUAAUCCUUCAAAUUCAAUUUCGUCAAUUGCCCCUCAAAUUGUUCAGGAAUUCGAAUUUCACAAAGGUUUAUAUGACGAAUCGCAAAUCCUCUUGCUGUGGAAUUUGUGAAAGCUCAAAUCUUGCUUCAAUCUGCAUAGUAUGUGUAAAUUACAGAUUAAAUGAGUACUAUACUUUGCUGAAAUCGGUGCGGAGUCGCCGUGAUCAACUUUACUCGAGGCUUACGGAUAAGUUAGUUGCCAAGGGAAAGGCAGAUGAGCAGCUUAAUUGGAAGAUUGUUCAAAAUGAGAAGAUUUCUGGGCUGAAAGAGAAGCUUCUUAAAUCGAGAGAACAACUUCUGCAUGGGAAAUCAAAAUUGGAGAAAGUGUCUGGUGAUCUUAAAGUGACAUACGCGUUGCUUGAUUUUUCUAAAAACAUGUUAGAAAAACACCGGGUUGAACAGCUGGAGAAGUCUUAUCCUAAUUGGAUAUGCACUCAGAGUUUGGGACAUAUGGCAAUAACCUCGGAGCGUUUACAUAAACAAUCAGUUGUUGUAAAACAAAUCUGCAAGUUGUUUCCACAACGUCUGGUGAAGGUGGAUAAUGAGAAGAAGGAUGGCUUCAAUGGUCAGUACGAUGUAAUUUGCAAUGCUCGAUUACCACGGGGUUUAAAUCCUCAUUCCGUUCCAGCAGAGGAGCUAGCAGCAUCGUUGGGGUACAUGGUGCAAGUGCUGAAUCUUGUUAAUCAUAUCCUGUGUCUGCCUACACUUCACAACUCUGGUUUUGCUGGUUCUUGCUCUCGAAUAUGGCAAAGAGAUUCAUAUUGGGAUGCUCGUCCAUCCUCUAGAAGCAAUGAGUAUCCACUUUUCAUUCCCAGACAAAAUUGUUGCUCUACUGGCGGAGAAAACUCGUGGUCAGAGAGAUCAAGCCAUUUUGAAGUUGCAUCAGUAGAAUCUGAGAGGAAACCCAGACUGGAUCCUUCUGGAAGUAUUAGUUUCAAUUAUUCUUGUGCAUCACCGCAUUCAAUAGAGAGCCACAAUGACUUGCAGAAAGGGAUUGCUCUUCUUAAAAAAAGUGUGGCUUGUAUAACAGCAUACUGUUAUAAUUCUCUGUGCCUUGAUGUUCCCACUGAUGCUUCUACAUUCGAAGCAUUUUCAAAUUUGCUUGCAACUCUUUCUUCGUCCAAGGAAGUCCGAUCCGUUUUCUCCUUGAAGAUGGCAUGUUCAAGAUCUUGUAAGCAAGUUCAGCAAUUGAAUAAAUCUGUGUGGAAUGUGAAUUCUAUGAUGUCAAGCACAAUGCUGGAAAGCGCUCAUGCACAACCUGCUAUGAGAAAUAUGUGGGAUAAAAAUCUUCCGAAUUCUGCACCCAGUUUUCUGUAUGCGGCUGACGUUGCUGAUGUCAGAAAGAAUGAUAACCUCUUUGACGGAUGGGACUUUGUGGAGUAUCCAAAAUUUCCUCCGCCACCAUCUGAAACUGAAGAUAUUGAGCACUGGACUCGAGCCAUGUUCACUGAUGCAACAAAAAAGUAAAUGAAGCUAAAGUUCCUGUAAGUUCUCUAUAACAACGAGAACUGAGAUUGUGCUUUUUUCUUGUUAUUGGUACAUAAAGGAUAUAUGGUUCAAGUUGUGGCAUAUGAAGGGAUCUGGGCUCAACCUGUUGAAUUGUAAUUACUUUGUAUAUAGGAGUAGUUUCCAGCUUAUCCGACCCAUGUAAAUAUAAGAAAUUGAAUCAAAUAUAGUUCAUUUCAUCAAAAUUACAACCUAUGAGCAAAUUUUGCACUAUGAGACAUCAUCGCACGCAUUGAUGAACUAGUUGGGCCGUGCGAUGAACGAUUUGGUUAUAUGUUGGUAGUGUAAUGAAGUUUAGAAGUUAUAUUGUUUUUAACUAGGUGUUAGAAGGUGUUUAAACCAAAUGACAAUAAUAAAAUUUUACGACCUACGAAGUCUUGUCUUUUCAA
Molecule: RNA transcript, 2184 nt
Organism: Spinacia oleracea (spinach)
Lineage: Eukaryota; Viridiplantae; Streptophyta; Magnoliopsida; Caryophyllales; Amaranthaceae
Exons: 14
Source: RefSeq, a predicted model, not a curated record